GCCGGCGUAGCUCAGUGGUAGAGCACCUCACUCAUAAAGAGGUUGUCGCAGGUUCGAUCCCUGCCGUCGGCA
Molecule: transfer RNA, 72 nt
Filed under: Candidatus Liptonbacteria bacterium RIFCSPHIGHO2_01_FULL_57_28
Lineage: Bacteria; Candidatus Liptoniibacteriota
Description: tRNA-Met
Rfam family: tRNA
About the family: Transfer RNA (tRNA) molecules are approximately 80 nucleotides in length. Their secondary structure includes four short double-helical elements and three loops (D, anti-codon, and T loops).
Source: RNAcentral